GACGAACGCUGGCGGCGUGCCUAAUACAUGCAAGUAGAACGCUGAAGGAGGAGCUUGCUUCUCUGGAUGAGUUGCGAACGGGUGAGUAACACGUAGGUAACCUGCCUGGUAGCGGGGGAUAACUAUUGGAAACGAUAGCUAAUACCGCAUAAGAGUAGAUGUUGCAUGACAUUUGCUUAAAAGGUGCAAUUGCAUCACUACCAGAUGGACCUGCGUUGUAUUAGCUAGUUGGUGGGGUAACGGCUCACCAAGGCGACGAUACAUAGCCGACCUGAGAGGGUGAUCGGCCACACUGGGACUGAGACACGGCCCAGACUCCUACGGGAGGCAGCAGUAGGGAAUCUUCGGCAAUGGACGGAAGUCUGACCGAGCAACGCCGCGUGAGUGAAGAAGGUUUUCGGAUCGUAAAGCUCUGUUGUAAGAGAAGAACGAGUGUGAGAGUGGAAAGUUCACACUGUGACGGUAUCUACCAGAAAGGACG
RNAcentral lists this ribosomal RNA (481 nucleotides) under Streptococcus mitis. RNAcentral describes it as "bacterial SSU rRNA". It matches the Rfam family "Bacterial small subunit ribosomal RNA", at positions 28 to 494 of the family's 1533-position model. The record is from RNAcentral. Lineage: Bacteria; Bacillati; Bacillota; Bacilli; Lactobacillales; Streptococcaceae.